GGGGAAUAUUGGACAAUGGGGGCAACCCUGAUCCAGCAAUGCCGCGUGAAUGAUGAAGGCCUUAGGGUUGUAAAGUUCUUUUAUUGAUGACGAUAAUGACGGUAAUCAAUGAAUAAGCACCGGCUAACUUCGUGCCAGCAGCCGCGGUAAUACGAAGGGUGCUAGCGUUGUUCGGAAUGACUGGGCGUAAAGGGUGCGUAGGCGGCCAGAAGCGUCUGAUGUGAAAUCCCUGGGCUUAACCUAGGAACUGCAUUGGAUACGGUCUGGCUAGAGUCCGCGAGAGGAAGAUGGAAUUGUGCGUGUAGAGGUGAAAUUCGUAGAUAUGCACAAGAACACCGGUGGCGAAGGCGAUCUUCUGGAGCGGUACUGACGCUAAGGCACGAAAGUGUGGGGAGCAAAC
This 400-nucleotide ribosomal RNA is filed under the name uncultured bacterium. RNAcentral's name for it is "bacterial SSU rRNA". It matches the Rfam family "Bacterial small subunit ribosomal RNA", at positions 356 to 773 of the family's 1533-position model. The record is from RNAcentral.